AUGCACGCUGGCGGCGUGCCUCAUACAUGCAAGUCGCGCGCACAGACGAGGAGCUUGCUCCUCUGACGUUAGCGGCGGACGGGUGAGUAACACGUGGAUAACCUACCUAUAAGACUGGGAUAACUUCGGGAAACCGGAGCUAAUACCGGAUAAUAUAUUGAACCGCAUGGUUCAAUAGUGAAAGACGGUUUUGCUGUCACUUAUAGAUGGAUCCGCGCCGCAUUAGCUAGUUGGUAAGGUAACGGCUUACCAAGGCAACGAUGCGUAGCCGACCUGAGAGGGUGAUCGGCCACACUGGAACUGAGACACGGUCCAGACUCCUACGGGAGGCAGCAGUAGGGAAUCUUCCGCAAUGGGCGAAAGCCUGACGGAGCAACGCCGCGUGAGUGAUGAAGGUCUUCGGAUCGUAAAACUCUGUUAUUAGGGAAGAACAAAUGUGUAAGUAACUAUGCACGUCUGGACGGUACCUAAUCAGAAAGCCACGGCUAACUACGU
RNAcentral lists this ribosomal RNA (495 nucleotides) under uncultured bacterium. RNAcentral's name for it is "partial 16S ribosomal RNA". It matches the Rfam family "Bacterial small subunit ribosomal RNA", at positions 29 to 506 of the family's 1533-position model. The record is from RNAcentral.